Non-coding RNA from Glycine soja, 120 nucleotides. The record is from Rfam. NCBI's taxonomy places the organism in Eukaryota, Viridiplantae, Streptophyta, Magnoliopsida, Fabales, Fabaceae.
UUCUUAUUGAAUGAUGACUGUCAGGUGUCAUGUUCUGAUUGGAUGUCAACUCCAUGAAAGAUGAAAUGCAUUGUUGUUUUCAUUGACCAAUCAGAACAUGACAUGUGAUAGGUAUGAUCC